This 1129-nucleotide long non-coding RNA is filed under the name Salvia miltiorrhiza (redroot sage). Its description in RNAcentral is "long non-coding RNA (SMIL_LNC007729)". Lineage: Eukaryota; Viridiplantae; Streptophyta; Magnoliopsida; Lamiales; Lamiaceae. The record is from RNAcentral.
CCCUCCGUCCCAAUAAUGUUGUCCCCUUUCUUUUGGGCACGGAGAUUAAGGAGUGUAAAAUUAGUGGUGUAAAAUAGAAGGUCCCACAUGUUUAAGGAAAAGCAAGUAUAGCUUAAGCCCCUCCCCAAACAUCUCUCUCUCGGCACUCUCUCCCUCAACAUACACUAUGCAGACGCCGCGCCGCCGGCGGCACCAUGUUUAACUCCGGCGACGGCAACAGUAAGCGGAACCACCUCUCUGAUUCCGCCGAGCAGCAGCGGGAGCAGCCACUGCCGGUCCCAGCCCCUGUUCUCCCUUUGUCUCUACCAUUUCUCAACUACUCCGCCCCUCUCCGUGUCUCCGGCGACCGCUACGAAGCCACAGAGAUAUAAGGAAGUAUAAACAGAAAAUUGAAACACAAAAGAAUGAACUUCAAGGAUAUGUUAUAAGCAACAGAGAUAUAAGGAAGAAAAACACAGAAGAAUGAACUUCAAGAAUGAAAACACAAAGAAUUGAAAACACAGAAGAAAAUUUACAAGGUUUCAUCGAAUUGCACAUAAACUUCGUCGAAUUGAAAACACAGAAGAAAACUUCAAGGUUGAAAAACAAAUUAAAGGAUUUCAAGGUUAGGCAUCAUUUCCCAAAGCAUUUCUUAUCAAUUGCACAUAAACUUCGUCCAUUUGCAGAACAGAGGGAGAAGGGGGAAGGCGGCGGAUACCUAAUUUUUUGGCGAGCCCUAAUUCGGCCUCGGCGCUGCUGAGGGCCGGCGAGAUUAUCUUCAUGUCUCCCAAUUCGAGUGAAGAAGAUGCAAGGCUCCAAACUCACUCACAAUUUCGUGCCCUAGCUCCACCUCCGGUGAAUCGCCGCCGCUGCGGGCAGUGGAGGGUCGGCACCUCCUUCUCUCUCUUCUCUUCUCCUUCCUCCGCUGAGAGCCCCAGUCACGGUCUAUAACCUUUUUUUCUCUCCACUUUGAAUGCUAAACGCUGCCAUACUGAAUCUCUGUAAUCCGGCGCAUGGAGUUACAGGGGCAGACGAACGGCGGCGAAGCACGGCAGCGGCGGCAAAAUAGAGGCGGCGGCCGUCCAAUUUCGGCAGAGAGAGAGAGAAUUAAUUGUUUGGGGGGGAGGGGGAGGGGCCACCGAUAGUUAAG